CAGAGCCACGGAGCAACUUCCUGGGGUGGAACAGGCCAGCCGGCGCCUGUCGCCACUCUCGAUUUUGGCCUUGGCGCUGCCUUUGGGACUUGGGUGGCUGUCCUGGCCUGUCACCUCCAUCCCGGCAGCCGUACUCCCUGCCUGACUCCCACGCAGAGGCCCUGCGCCCCACCCUCCGCACCGUCUGAUGUUGCUAAUCCGAUCCCCUUCCUGGGAGCAGAGAACGGCCUGCCUGAGAGCAUCUCUGCAAACUGUCCUAGGAGGUCCCUCGUCUGCCUGACGGUCAGGAAGGCCUCAGAACCUGAUGAUGGAAGGCCUCAGAGGGCACAGAGCCUGGUAUCAGCUGCUCAGAAAGAGUUAGCAGCUCCUACUGUCUGUGAAAAAGCUCCAGUAAGAAACACCUAUUAGAGCAUCACCUCAGAUGGAAUCAGCUUCUGCUCUCAAGCUGCCAAUCCCAGCUUCCGGACGAAAAGAGGACAGCCCCUCAGAACUCGUGAGGCCUGUCACUCACCCCUUCAGUUGUAGGGACCCC
This 532-nucleotide long non-coding RNA is filed under the name Sus scrofa (pig). Its description in RNAcentral is "lncRNA (ENSSSCG00070009674.1)". The record is from RNAcentral. Lineage: Eukaryota; Metazoa; Chordata; Mammalia; Artiodactyla; Suidae.